AUUGAACGCUGGCGGCAGGCCUAACACAUGCAAGUCGAGCGGAUGAAGGGAGCUUGCUCCUGGAUUCAGCGGCGGACGGGUGAGUAAUGCCUAGGAAUCUGCCUGGUAGUGGGGGAUAACGUCCGGAAACGGGCGCUAAUACCGCAUACGUCCUGAGGGAGAAAGUGGGGGAUCUUCGGACCUCACGCUAUCAGAUGAGCCUAGGUCGGAUUAGCUAGUUGGUGGGGUAAAGGCCUACCAAGGCGACGAUCCGUAACUGGUCUGAGAGGAUGAUCAGUCACACUGGAACUUAGACACGGACCAGACUCCUACGGGAGGCAGCAGUGGGGAAUAUUGGACAAUGGGCGAAAGCCUGAUCCAGCCAUGCCGCGUGUGUGAAGAAGGUCUUCGGAUUGUAAAGCACUUUAAGUUGGGAGGAAGGGCAGUAAGUUAAUACCUUGCUGUUUUGACGUUACCAACAGAAUAAGCACCGGCUAACUUCGUG
RNAcentral lists this ribosomal RNA (484 nucleotides) under uncultured bacterium. Its description in RNAcentral is "partial 16S ribosomal RNA". It matches the Rfam family "Bacterial small subunit ribosomal RNA", at positions 30 to 507 of the family's 1533-position model. The record is from RNAcentral.